RNAcentral lists this ribosomal RNA (484 nucleotides) under uncultured bacterium. Its description in RNAcentral is "partial 16S ribosomal RNA". It matches the Rfam family "Bacterial small subunit ribosomal RNA", at positions 30 to 507 of the family's 1533-position model. The record is from RNAcentral.
AUUGAACGCUGGCGGCAGGCCUAACACAUGCAAGUCGAGCGGAUGAAGGGAGCUUGCUCCUGGAUUCAGCGGCGGACGGGUGAGUAAUGCCUAGGAAUCUGCCUGGUAGCGGGGGAUAACGUCCGGAAACGGGCGCUAAUACCGCAUACGUCCUGAGGGAGAAAGGGGGGGAUCUUCGGACCUCACGCUAUCAGAUGAGCCUAGGUCGGAUUAGCUAGUUGGUGGGGUAAAGGCCUACCAAGGCGACGAUCCGUAACUGGUCUGAGAGGAUGAUCAGUCACACUGGAACUGAGACACGGUCCAGACUCCUACGGGAGGCAGCAGUGGGGAAUAUUGGACAAUGGGCGAAAGCCUGAUCCAGCCAUGCCGCGUGUGUGAAGAAGGUCUUCGGAUUGUAAAGCACUUUAAGUUGGGAGGAAGGGCAGUAAGUUAAUACCUUGCUGUUUUGACGUUACCAACAGAAUAAGCACCGGCUAACUUCGUG